RNAcentral lists this long non-coding RNA (551 nucleotides) under Eucalyptus grandis. RNAcentral describes it as "long non-coding RNA (EGRA_LNC000487)". Lineage: Eukaryota; Viridiplantae; Streptophyta; Magnoliopsida; Myrtales; Myrtaceae. The record is from RNAcentral.
CCGAAGCUGAUAUGUGGGCCUUCGCAGCCCAGUCAGCAACUAGGUUAGCAUCACGGUAGCAAUGCUGCAGCUUCAGAUUCGGGAACUCAGCAAGCAAAGCGGCAGCUUCAUCGAUCACCAAUCGAAGCUCCCAUGGCGGCACUCGAUGCCCUUUUACGACUUCAACAAGAUUCAAGCAGUUGGUUUCCACCUUUAGAGAAGCUUCGUGGAGAUGUCGAUCGAUCAGAUAUUGAAGAGAAGACGUCAGAGCCUAAAUUUCUGCUUCAAACGCAGAGUGUGCCAGAACUCAAUUCGUAUACACAUCGGUAAGGCGCCCUUGAUCAUCUCUGUUAAUACAGGCUAUUAUACCUUCAGUGCUACCCGGCUGAUAGCUGGCAUCGAUAUUACAUUUUAGGGUGCCUUUUGCAGGGGGACGCCAGAGGUGAGCCCGAUCAAUGGAAACCAAACCAGAUCUCAAUUGGGAUGAAUCUGAGUGGAGUUGAUACACAGUCAUGUGAGCCAUUGCUGUCUGUACAACCAUGGAGGGAUUCGGAGGUUGAUUUCGAAAAAUA